Long non-coding RNA from Microcebus murinus (gray mouse lemur), 761 nucleotides. RefSeq lists it as uncharacterized. The record is from RefSeq and is a predicted model, not a curated record. NCBI's taxonomy places the organism in Eukaryota, Metazoa, Chordata, Mammalia, Primates, Cheirogaleidae.
CCGCCCUGCAGCCAUUGGCCAGCUCGCCGCCAAUCAACGGAAACCGCCGGGGCUGCCCAGAGAAGAGGCUGUGCUCUGGGGCUCCGGCUCCUCAGAGAGCUACGGCUAGGUUGCUACUUGAGGGAAGGACAAUGCUUGCUUAUGGCUGUUUCCCUAUUGCCAAAGGACAAGGAGGUCUUCGAGGUCAAAACUGUUUUCACACUAGCAAGAUGUUUGCCUUUUCCACUCAUUCCUGCAAGUGUACAGAGGCUACAUGAUGCGCAGUGACAGCCUUGAUGUUAAUGAAUGGUGCUGCAUGUUCUUGACUUUUCUAAGGGGGUGGUUUCGAUCCACAGUUGGUUGGAUCCACAGAUGGGGAACCUGAGUACAUGGAAAUGGCUGAGUCUGUAAAUGUGGCUGGACUUCCUACGCUGACUUGGACUUGCCAUGCAUUAGCGUGAGCUAAUCAAAUAUACUCUUAUGUGACAGCUUGGCAACAGACAGAACAUGUCCUGAAAUAGUCCAAGUGUGGAAUACAUUUGUUAAUCUCAUGGUGUAUCUUAAACAACUAUACAUUGACUUCUGGAUUAGUGGUGAAACUGCAAUAGUGGGGAAAACUUGAACCUUGCACAGAUCACGGCAGUGGAAUCAAACUAGAAGUUAUUCUUCACAGUCAUGCAUUUUACGUGUAAAAUUCCUCAAAAAGAAAAAGCUAGUUUUACCUUAAAAUAUCCUUGUGAAAGCAGUAAAAUUAUUUUGUUAAAUAAAUCAAUUGUAUUAUA